This is a long non-coding RNA of Sarcophilus harrisii (Tasmanian devil), 710 nucleotides long. RefSeq lists it as uncharacterized. The record is from RefSeq and is a predicted model, not a curated record. The transcript is spliced from 4 exons. NCBI's taxonomy places the organism in Eukaryota, Metazoa, Chordata, Mammalia, Dasyuromorphia, Dasyuridae.
UUCUUUCUUGUCACUCCAAAGGCAGGAGCCUAUUGAAGGAGCAGCCCCAAUAGUCUUUGGACUUGAAGAGAAGAUCCUGCUGUGGUGAAGUAGUAUACCAAAGAAAUGGACUCACUAGAGCAGAAACCAAAAGAAGCUCUGACAGACUAUUAGAGAAAAAGCUUGGCUGGCUGGUUUGUUUUCCUCUAGGCUUUGAGAAAUUCACCUUUAAAUGACCAGCAUUAGAUAGCUGUUGAACAGCUUCAGGGGUCCGACUCAACUCAUUGGAUCUUCAAUCAACUCACGUCCCUUCACAAAUGAGCUCAAGGACCUGAAACAUUUGAAAUUUUAGGGUUUGGAAAUAAGAAUCUCUAAGGAAAACACAUCAGUAAUGAACAUAUAUGAAUCAGAUCAGAGGCAUGAAUAUGAAAGGCAUUCCCAAUUGACUGAGGAGGCCAUUAUGGGGCUGUCAUCUAGAAUAAGAAUCAGAAUGUUAAACUGGGAAGAUUAUUAUGAAUGAUCUACUUCUGCACUUGAGAAAGAAGAAAGAAUGUUAAACUGGGAAGAUUAUUAUGAAUGAUCUACUUCUGCACUUGAGAAAGAAGAAAACUGAGGCCCAAAGAGAAAUAAGAAGGCCACAGUGUUUUUCUUCCUUUUAAAUAAAAUGGUAUUUUUCCUUAUUACAUAUCAAGGCAAUUUUUAGCAUUCAUUUAAAAAAGAUUUUGAGUUCC